This 334-nucleotide unclassified non-coding RNA is filed under the name soil metagenome. Its description in RNAcentral is "partial contains 5.8S ribosomal RNA, internal transcribed spacer 2, and large subunit ribosomal RNA". The stretch from base 1 to 120 matches the Rfam family "5.8S ribosomal RNA", at positions 35 to 154 of the family's 154-position model. The record is from RNAcentral.
GAUGAAGAACGUAGCGAAAUGCGAUACGUAAUGUGAAUUGCAGAAUUCAGUGAAUCAUCGAAUCUUUGAACGCACAUUGCGCCUGCCAGCACUCUGGCAGGCAUGCCUGUUCGAGCGUCAUUUCAACCAUCAAGCCCUAGGCUUGCGUUGGAGCCCUGCGGCUGCCGCAGGCCCCUAAAAGCAGUGGCGGGCUCGCUAUCACACCGAGUGCAGUAGAUUACUCUUCGCUCAGGGCGUGUGGCGGGUUCCAGCCGUGAAACCCCCUACUUCUCAAGGUUGACCUCGGAUCAGGUAGGGAUACCCGCUGAACUUAAGCAUAUCAAUAAGCGGAGGA